GAUGAACGCUAGCGGCAGGCCUAACACAUGCAAGUCGAGGGAGAAGCCCUUUCGGGGGCAGAAACCGGCGCACGGGUGCGUAACGCGUAUGCAACCUACCUUUCACAGGGGGAUAGCCCGAAGAAAUUUGGAUUAAUACCCCAUAAUAUUAUUGGAUGGCAUCAUUUGAUAAUUAAAACUGCGGUGGUGAAAGAUGGGCAUGCGUCCUAUUAGCUAGUUGGAGUGGUAACGGCACCCCAAGGCUACGAUAGGUAGGGGUCCUGAGAGGGAGAUCCCCCACACUGGUACUGAGACAGGGACCAGACUCCGACGGGAGGCAGCAGUGAGGAAUAUUGGUCAAUGGUCGGAAGACUGAACCAGCCAUGCCGCGUGCAGGAAGAAUGCCUUAUGGGGUGUAAACUGCUUUUAUAUGGGAAGAAUAAGGCGUACGUGUACGUUGAUGACGGUACCAUAUGAAUAAGCAUCGGCUAACUCCGU
This 477-nucleotide ribosomal RNA is filed under the name uncultured bacterium. RNAcentral's name for it is "partial 16S ribosomal RNA". It matches the Rfam family "Bacterial small subunit ribosomal RNA", at positions 28 to 506 of the family's 1533-position model. The record is from RNAcentral.